Molecule: ribosomal RNA, 398 nt
Filed under: uncultured bacterium
Lineage: Bacteria
Description: partial 16S ribosomal RNA
Rfam family: Bacterial small subunit ribosomal RNA
Source: RNAcentral
AUACGUAGGGUGCGAGCGUUGUCCGGAAUUACUGGGCGUAAAGAGCUCGUAGGUGGUUUGUCGCGUCGUCUGUGAAAUUCCGGGGCUUAACUCCGGGCGUGCAGGCGAUACGGGCAUAACUUGAGUACUGUAGGGGAGACUGGAAUUCCUGGUGUAGCGGUGAAAUGCGCAGAUAUCAGGAGGAACACCGGUGGCGAAGGCGGGUCUGUGGGCAGUAACUGACGUUGAGGAGCGAAAGCAGGGGUAGCGAACAGGAUUAGAUACCCUGGUAGUCCAUGCCGUAAACGGUGGGCGCUAGGUGUAGGGGUCUUCCACGACUUCUGUGCCGUAGCUAACGCAUUAAGCGCCCCGCCUGGGGAGUACGGCCGCAAGGCUAAAACUCAAAUGAAUUGACGGGG